This 19-nucleotide small RNA is filed under the name Arabidopsis thaliana (thale cress). Its description in RNAcentral is "ATSL289320". The record is from RNAcentral. Lineage: Eukaryota; Viridiplantae; Streptophyta; Magnoliopsida; Brassicales; Brassicaceae.
AAAAAAAUCCAAAAAAAAA